GCCGAGGUGGCGAAAUCGGUAGACGCGAUAGACUCAAAAUCUAUUUUCCGCAAGGAAGUGUCGGUUCGAGUCCGACCCCCGGCA
RNAcentral lists this transfer RNA (84 nucleotides) under Chlamydiales bacterium. Its description in RNAcentral is "tRNA-Leu". It matches the Rfam family "tRNA". Rfam says of the family: Transfer RNA (tRNA) molecules are approximately 80 nucleotides in length. Their secondary structure includes four short double-helical elements and three loops (D, anti-codon, and T loops). The record is from RNAcentral. Lineage: Bacteria; Pseudomonadati; Chlamydiota; Chlamydiia; Chlamydiales.